UUUAAAUUGAAAUCUGUAACUAUCCUAAAUAUUGGUCAAAAUUGAUCAAUUAUCUAAAAGUGCCUAGAAGGACAUUCUUCAGCAGACCCAAAUCAUGUUGGAAGUAAUUACACAAUUCAGACACGAUAUCAUUAGUUUUCAUGAUAGUCUUCCUAGUAUGCAAAAUUUUAAAUAUGUUUGUUAACUGCAAUUUAUCAGUGAAUAUUAAAGGCCAUAUGAACAAAAAUGUUAACGCGUUUAGUAUCAUGACUUUGUUAUUCAAUCUUAGAAUACCGAUAGGUCUCCAAAAUUGUUUGUCUUUAAAAGAAUGAAACUAUAUUAUCGAAAAUCUGCUGUUCCUCUCUCCCCUGAAAACAGACGUGUGCAUGCCAUAAUGUCAUUAAAAUUGUAUUUAUACCUUUCGUAUUAAAAAUUCAUACCAUGCGGUGGAUUUUGACAAUAUAACUUUCAAUGUUAUUUAUCUAAGUAUGCACGAACACUAGGAAUCCAAAGCCAUUUAAAAACAACGAUUCCAUGCGUAUAAACGUUUUGAGUACUUUUCGGAAUACACAAUAGGAAGAUUGAGUUAUAAGACUAAAAAGAAAUUAUAUAACUUCAUUCUAACAUCUCUUUAUUUUGUUGAUUAUAUGUUAUUCUAGGAAAAUUGUAAUGGUCGUUACAAUUUAGCAAUAAAAAAACC
This 679-nucleotide long non-coding RNA is filed under the name Mytilus galloprovincialis (Mediterranean mussel). Lineage: Eukaryota; Metazoa; Mollusca; Bivalvia; Mytilida; Mytilidae. The record is from RNAcentral.